Long non-coding RNA from Gasterosteus aculeatus aculeatus (three-spined stickleback), 1133 nucleotides. The record is from Ensembl. NCBI's taxonomy places the organism in Eukaryota, Metazoa, Chordata, Actinopteri, Perciformes, Gasterosteidae.
UUCUUAAGUGGAUCUUUUGAUUUUAGUUUAAAAAAAAAAAGAGAAAUCCUGAAUGCAAGUUGAAACUUGAAGUUAACACGUUCCUGCCAACAACUCCUGGGCGUUUGGAGGAAUGUUCCGAGAGUUCCGCCUUCCUCUCACAGCCCAGGGAGCACCCUGUUUUCAUCCCGCUGCCCUGCACCCAAAAAACCAACAGCAUCUGUACCGGCAAACUCGGCUAUAGUGUCACUUUGGGGCCUCGCUUCUAUGCAAGUGUUUCCCAACGUUCUCAGGAGGAUAAUUCUCCCAGAGCCCCCCCCACCACACUCUUUAGUACCUGCAUGGAGCACUGUAUUAGCAUACACAUAACACCUACAUAUUAAUGAAAAAUACUAAUAAAACAGGAACAAAAAGAAGAGCAGCACAGUGGAUUCUUUUGUUUCUGACCAAAUCCAAAAUGUGACCUUCACCCAUGUGAGAGGACUCCAGCAGGUUGAUGAUUAACUGUGGAAUUAACAACAUGCCUCAUUCAGGAACACAGUGUCAUGCAGGUCAAGGACCAGUUCAAAAUAAAAAGGAUUUGGCACCUUUAAAAUCUUUUUGCAAUAUAUACACAAAGGAUUUUUAAGAGGCACGACACUGUGCAUUUCUUUUACAGUAAGAACGUGCAGUUGUGGACUGUUUAUGCUUACUUUGAGCACCAGAAAUAUAUACUCCAUCUUUUAUUUCAAUGUUUUAUAUUUUAAAAUAAUAUCUUGCGUCCAUUAUUCUUACCUGUAAGUGUAUCCUAAAAUAUCUCCAUCUGACAUGUUUCCACAGCUGGAAAUAUCUGCGGCGAUAAUUACAUCCACUAUACACAAUAAGUGCUACAUAUUUAUUUAAUUAAACAGAUCGUCUAUCAUUAAGACACUAUUUCAGAAUUUGUUUGAAUUAUUAAAGAAAAUAUUAGCCUAACAAGUCGCGCCGACAGAGCGCAGCUCUCCAGCUCUCUGCGGUGAAAUCCCCAAUCCUCAAACACACACAGUCUUUUUCUCAUGAUCUCAUUUCCAAGUUAAGCAGACUCUGUUAGUCCCUCGUCAACACCACAGGUUUGCUUGCCUUUACUAAUGGGUCUUAUACUGAUAGUUAUGCUCUUGCGUAAAUAUGCAGUCAAA